GGCUACCUGGCCGUUGUUUGCUCUUCAUCAUUGCAGCAGUGGUGGAGAGAUAAUUUGGUUGUUGCUGGUGGCCAAAAGCUAUUGUGGAAGCCUGUUGAUUGGGCCCAGUGGAGACAUGAGGAGCAUUCUCAAUCGUCCAGCCCGUCCUGUUGUACCCACGGAGGGUCAAAGACUCAGUGUGUCUUAAGUGGAACAUACCACUGUCAGCGGCGGGGGGACACCGUCGUCUUUCCCAUACGUUGUUUUUGUUUUGUUUUGUUUUAUUUGAUGUGUGCAUGUCGAGCUCUCAGAGACAGGCUGUAGGCUAGUUGAUGUGGUCUUGAACACACUGUUUGCCCCAGCCAUUUACUCCUUGGGGGAGCAAGGAGUGGGUGACUGCAGCGUUAACCCAGUGAGGAUAGCAGAGUGGUGUGGGCCCAUUGGGCUGUGGUGUAUCUACCUGGUUUGGUGAACAUAUCAUGAACGCUUUUAGCCUGCUUGGCUAGGAUACACCUACUGUGCAUUGUGAACGUCUUCAUUUACCAUUGCAUGCUGUCUUUGUUUCUUUGAUUGAAGUGUUUUAGAUUUAUUCCUUCUGUUUGUUUUAUUUUUACUUAGAUGUGUUCAUCUUGGUUUGCUGUGUACUGGGGUUCACCGUGUAGUGUGUGUGUGUAUCCUCCCAAAAUUACUGAUAACCACCAGUAUUGGUUAAGCCUACGCCUACUACUAGUUUACACCAUUCGGCUACUCAGCCGGUGAAAUUGGUUCUGUCUGUAUCAUUUCUGUGAAACUGUGAUGACCCUUGACCUGCCUGUCUCUGUUAGAUUUCCACAUUUUAAGUCAGUGUGACAA
Engraulis encrasicolus (European anchovy) is the source of this 831-nucleotide long non-coding RNA. RefSeq lists it as uncharacterized. NCBI's taxonomy places the organism in Eukaryota, Metazoa, Chordata, Actinopteri, Clupeiformes, Engraulidae. The transcript has 3 exons. The record is from RefSeq and is a predicted model, not a curated record.